RNAcentral lists this ribosomal RNA (253 nucleotides) under uncultured bacterium. RNAcentral describes it as "partial 16S ribosomal RNA". It matches the Rfam family "Bacterial small subunit ribosomal RNA", at positions 524 to 776 of the family's 1533-position model. The record is from RNAcentral.
UACAGAGGGGGCAAGCGUUGUUCGGAAUUACUGGGCGUAAAGGGCUCGUAGGCGGCCAACUAAGUCCGACGUGAAAUCCCCAGGCUUAACCUGGGAACUGCGUCGGAUACUGGAUGGCUUGAAUUCGGGAGAGGGAUGCAGAAUUCCAGGUGUAGCGGUGAAAUGCGUAGAUAUCUGGAGGAAUACCGGUGGCGAAGGCGGCAUCCUGGACCGACAUUGACGCUGAUGAGCGAAAGCUAGGGGAGCGAACGGG